UCUCCCUUUCCCCCCUUACUCUUGAAUCUCUAUUCUUCUCUGUUUCAGCAAAACGAUAUCAGUCAAAAUAAUUGAUGAUGAGGAGUAUGAGAAAAACAAGACCUUCUACCUUGAGAUUGGGGAGCCCCGUCUGGUGGAGAUGAGUGAGAAGAAAGCUCUGUUGUUGAAUGAGCUUGGUGGCUUCACAAUAACAGGCAAACCUGUCUUCAGGAAGGUCCAUGCAAGAGAACAUCCAAUUCCUUCUACUGUAAUCAGCAUUCAAGGGAAUGCAGCGUUUCUCUGUGCCAGUGGAAUUCUGUGCUUGAGUGGAGUUGGCCUAAGUGACUUCAGCAUCUUCAUUUGACUUCUUG
Molecule: long non-coding RNA, 350 nt
Filed under: Gopherus agassizii (Agassiz's desert tortoise)
Lineage: Eukaryota; Metazoa; Chordata; Testudines; Testudinidae
Description: lncRNA (ENSGAGG00000001338.1)
Source: RNAcentral